GGGGCUGUAGCUCAGUUUGGAUAGAGCAGCGGUUUCCUAAACCGCGUGUCGGAGGUUCGAGUCCUCUCAGCCCCGCCA
RNAcentral lists this transfer RNA (78 nucleotides) under Acidobacteria bacterium RBG_13_68_16. Its description in RNAcentral is "tRNA-Arg". It matches the Rfam family "tRNA". From Rfam's summary of the family: Transfer RNA (tRNA) molecules are approximately 80 nucleotides in length. Lineage: Bacteria; Pseudomonadati; Acidobacteriota. The record is from RNAcentral. RNAcentral also lists the same sequence under 1 other name.